Numida meleagris (helmeted guineafowl) is the source of this 1926-nucleotide long non-coding RNA. RefSeq lists it as uncharacterized. The record is from RefSeq and is a predicted model, not a curated record. Lineage: Eukaryota; Metazoa; Chordata; Aves; Galliformes; Numididae. The transcript is spliced from 2 exons.
AGAUAAAAAAGAGGAUUAGUUUUAUGACAGUACAAUUUCCAGACAUACCAAACAGAUUUUGGCCAAGGAAAUUCAAUAUUGAAAUGCAAUUUUAUCACAGAUUAUCAGGCCAGCCCAGUUUCUCAGAAGUUGUGGAAGGGAAGAGGCAUACUGAAUACUUGUGCUAGAGGAGAGAGCAGGCCUAGUACAAGGCCAAGUAAAAGAGAAAGAAAGAAGAGCAGAUGCUUGUGAUCCAUGCUUCUUCCAUCUGUUUUCACCUUCUAUUUAAAUUAUCCUUCCACGCCCUCAGUAAAUACUACUUCAACCCUAUUUCCUUUUUUUACUUUUAAUAUGAAGUAGUCCUUUGUCAUAGACUACAGGAAAGCAAAAGAAACCAUUGAGGAGAAGGAUUAUAUUUAUAACAUUCAUUUACUGUAAGACACGUAUGAUGUCAUCUACAGUGAAGAUCCUCAUACAUUCAUGUUUGAUUUGCCCUAAUUUUCCCUCCCCGGCAUGCCGGCCAUGUGCUUAUCAGAGCUGGGAUUCAGGGAUAUCUGUUAAUGAUGCACCUACAAAAACACACACAUAAGCACGAACCUCUUUCUUCCAUGGUUUAAAAGAAAACUGAACAAAACAAAGCACCCACAUGUACAUACAUUCAAAAAAUAACAUCCAUGAGAACUGCAGCAGCCUACUGAUUGUUCAGCCACAGGUGUUGCUUUUUCCCAUAAUCCAAUAGUCCUCUUCCCAAGUGGAGGUAGUUCUGUCUUAACGAGUUUCCAGCAGUGGGUUUCAGGCAUUUUUACUUUUCCUGUGCUCUGGCUUUCCUUUGAAGGAUAAGGCUCUGUGCAGUUAUUAAUGAAUGAAGUGCCAGAUCUUUUCCCUCCAGCUGCAGGGUGCAGGAUGGAAAACUCAGUCCUGCUUCUCCCAGGCAAGUGUUGAUAAUGAAUAAAGCUUCUUUCCCCUUCUUUCUCUCCUACACAACAGUGUGAUUCCCUGCUAACUAUUACCUUUCUAAUUUGACUCGUGUGAUGCUGAGGUGCGUAAAGGUGACUUAAAAAGCAAGUGAUAGAGGCAGGAUCAGUGUUCUGAAUGAUCAAGUGCUGUUGCCUUUCCAGAUGGCUUUGCCUGCCAACUAAAGGAGAGCCUUGCUGCAUUGUGGAGCCUUUGUAAUGCUCCUGGCCUCAGCAGUUGGUGGAUUGGAGCCUAAAAGAGGAGAGUGUCUCUUGCCGACUUUGAAAGUGUUCAUUGGUAAACAAAGAAAUAGCUUCACUGUGAGACUUAGUCCUGGGUGAUUUGCAAAAUGAACGUAAAAGGGAGCCAACAUGCAGCCAUGUGUAUCUGUCAGGGUUUUUUUUUGUUGUACGCGAUGGUAGUAUAACUGAAGUUUGAAUCUGAUGCAUGAAAAUAAUUUGAAUAUAGUUAUUUCGUGACCCUUUGAUGCUAUAUCUUAUUUUAGGAACUUCUUUACAUUUCAAAAUGGUAGAUUAGUAAUAUUCAGGCCAACUAAACAGAGAACACCCUUGAAAAUCUUUGACUGAAACCAAGCUUCUCCUGUUAUUGUUACUCAUGGGACUUCUUGAAAUAGAACUUCUGACUUGGUGGCAAAAUAAGUAUGGGGUUUUUUUUGUUUUUUUUUUUUUUGUUUUUUCCUGGAUUAGAAUUUAUAACUUCUUGCUUUUUGUUUAGAAGCAGAACUGUGGCUUUCCCCUGUGUGUUUCUGACUCUGGUAGAUUUUAUUUUUUCUUUCUGUUCAGUUGAAGGGAGAGUAAAAUUAGAUGAAAGCUGAGGAAAACACCGCUUCUCAUACUUCAGCUGACUUGCAUUUUAAGUGAAGUAGGGUAUAGUAAAACACUUCCCCUUCCUUGCAUAGAUUCGGCCUUUAAGAUGGCAACAUGUUUCCCUCUCGCGCUCCAUCAUAUUACAAGAAGAUGACUGAGAACAAAG